GGCGGCAUGCCUUACACAUGCAAGUCGAACGGCAGCACGGGGGCAACCCUGGUGGCGAGUGGCGAACGGGUGAGUAAUACAUCGGAACGUGUCCUGUAGUGGGGGAUAGCCCGGCGAAAGCCGGAUUAAUACCGCAUACGCUCUACGGAGGAAAGGGGGGGAUCUUAGGACCUCUCGCUACAGGGGCGGCCGAUGGCAGAUUAGCUAGUUGGUGGGGUAAAGGCCUACCAAGGCGACGAUCUGUAGCUGGUCUGAGAGGACGACCAGCCACACUGGGACUGAGACACGGCCCAGACUCCUACGGGAGGCAGCAGUGGGGAAUUUUGGACAAUGGGCGCAAGCCUGAUCCAGCAAUGCCGCGUGUGUGAANAAGGCCUUCGGGUUGUAAAGCACUUUGUCCGGAAAGAAAACGCUCUGGUUAAUACCCGGGGCGGAUGACGGUACCGGAA
RNAcentral lists this ribosomal RNA (449 nucleotides) under uncultured beta proteobacterium. RNAcentral's name for it is "bacterial SSU rRNA". It matches the Rfam family "Bacterial small subunit ribosomal RNA", at positions 38 to 483 of the family's 1533-position model. The record is from RNAcentral. Lineage: Bacteria; Pseudomonadati; Pseudomonadota; Betaproteobacteria.